UAUUAUCCAUUUUAUAAUAUUAAUCAUGUCAUAAUUAAAAGAUAUUUUCCCAAUUCAAAUAGGUCUUAUCCUUUUAUAUAGUUAAUUCAAAUAGGUUACCUAACGUGUAUUAGCUCAAUUGCUGUCAUUUAACUAUUUAUGAAGUAACCCGCUAUGAAUACGUUAUAGGUGUUACAAAAAUUGCACCCAUUAAUUUGUUAUUUGCUUUAUACCUAGAAAUACUAACGUUUUUUGUGUUGUGGGUUUUCCUUUUGCAGAGGUUUCUUCUCACUUAGGCUAUGAUACAUUGGAUGCAGUUGCCAAAGAUAAUAUAAUUUAGAGGUAAAAUAAAAAAAUUCAUAAAUUCUCUUAUUUUAUGGUGAUUUUAGACACUGAAGAAGCUGAAGAGAUUGCAAUGAGUAAAGAAUUGACGGAAUUAGCUGCAAGACCAUUUUAGUCUCUAUCACCACCAAUUGCAAUAAUCUUGGUCAGUUUUUAUCAAUAUUGUUCACAUGAAUGUUGAUGAUUUGUUUUAAUUUCAUUAUGCUAAUUAACAAUACUAGAGAUUCAUAUGUUAGUUACUUAUUUAGAAAAGCUUAUUCUUUAGGUUUUAUACUUCUUGCUAUCAAGGGCGCAUCUAGGAUUUAAACUCUAUGGAUCUUAAUUUUUUUUUAGCAUUGAACCAUUGUAUUUUGAAGUUAUAGUUUUAUAUCUACUAUUAUUAUAAUUUUAGUCAUUUUAUCCACAUAAAUAUAUGCUCCAAAUUGAAAGUUAUGGAUUCAAUUGAACCCCCACAUAUAAUUUAAAUGUGUCUCUGCUUGCUGUUUUUAAAUGAAGACAAACCGAGACAAUCAAAUUAAACUAUAUAUCAAGUUACUUUAUCAAAUUAUUAACUUUGAUUUCCUUCAUAAAUUUCAAGCUUUGCAUUGUUGAUUUUUACAUGAAUAGCAAUGACAACAGUCUUGAACGUAUUAGCAACAACUCAAGCUGAAUCCUUUCCUGCAACAACACUAGCCAGGAUUUCAUACUUUGAAGUUGAAAGGGCAACUCAAGGGUUCGACCAAUGCAACUUGCUAGGCUGUGCAGGUUAUGGCUCUGUUUACAAGGGCAUCUUUGCAAAUGGGAUGGUUAGGGCAAUCAAAGUGUUUAAUUUACAGAUAGAAGGUGCAUUCAAGAGUUUUGAUUCUGAAUGCGAAGUUCUACCCAACCUUCGCCAUAGGAAUCUUACCAAAGUUAUCACCAGUUGUACAAACUUGGAUUUUAAAGCUUUACUUCUAGAGUACAUGCCCAAUGAAAGCCUGGAGCAGUGGUUACAUUCUGAUGGUUACUUCUUGAACAUGAUCCAAGGAUUAGACAUAAUGAUCGAUGUUGCAUCUACUUUGGAAUAUCUCCAUCAUGGUUAUGUAACAGUUGUUGUACAUAGUGACUUAAAGCCUAGAAAUGUCUUGCUAGAUGAAAGACAGGUUGGACAUGUGAGUGACUUUUGCCAGGCGAAGUUAUUAGGAGAAGGGGAAUCUAUUGCUCAUACUAAAACACUUGCAACGAUGGGCUACAUCGCACGGGAGUACGGAACAGUAGGAUUAGUUUCUAGAAGAUGUGAUGUGUAUAGCUAUGGGAUAAUGGUCAUGGAGACUUUCACAAGAAAAAAGCCAUAUGAUGAAAUGUUUAAAGAAAAUUUGAGCAUGAGGAGUUGGGUCUAUAAUUUGCUACAUGCAGCACUAGAGGAGAUUAUUGAUGUCACAUUAAUGGAACCAGAAGAGAUUGAUUUCCAGAAAAAGUUGCAUUGUGUGUCCUCUAUUUUGGAGUUGGCAUUGCAUUGUACAACUGAAACUCCCAAUGAAAGAUUGAACAUGAAAGAAGUCCUGGCAAAUAUCAAGAAGACCAAACUGGAAUUCCUUCGCAAAUGAUGUAGCAAGGUUCAUGUGAAGGUAAAUAUCCAACUUUCUCAGAUAUUCGAUGAAUUUUUUCCUUAUUUAGGAAUAGAAUGGAUUAUUGUCUUGUUUGUACCAUAUAUAAAUGUUGAACUGGGUAAUUUUUUUCAUACAAAUAUAUACCCCUGAAGUAAAAAGAGAAAAGAAGAAGAAGAAGAGGAGAAUUGGAUUGGAGGACAACUUCUUUAAGAGUCUAGUUUAAGAAGGAGAAUAAAUGGAAAACAAAGACCAGUGAAAUUGAAAAAGAAACUUUAGUUCAAUAAAUUCAAGAGUUCAAAAGAACAAGGGAAAAUAAGAAAAGAAAUUGAGGUCUAAUGCAAAUGGUGUAGGGAAAUAGGUAUCUUGAUAUAUUAUACUGAUAGACUCAGGUCUUUUCCUAUUUCUCAAUUGGUCUUCUGCUCAAGGCCAACUCAAGUUUGAUCCCAAUUAAUAUUUUUAAAGGUAGGGAUGCCUCUUCCACCUGGUGUUAGGAAAUUUGGAUGACCCCAAUUGAGAUGACAACCACCAUUUGGUCCGAGAUUUAAACUUUUAUUAUUUAUUGUGCUCUCAUCUCGUGUACGAUUUCAAGUUUGAGUAUAUGUGUGUGUCAAAUAACUUUUAUAUAAAGAUGUGUACUAAUGGUAUGGCAGGAUGCCUAGUAUAAUGUUAUUAAUGAUCAUUAUUCCUAGAUAUCAAGUUUAGGAGUCCUUUAAUUUAAUACUGUGGUUCAGUAUAUUCGUGGAUAAUUCAAAAACCUAAUAUUCUCACUGAGAGGAGACUGCACCUCUUUUUUCUUGAAAUCUUGUGACAACUAAUAGUAGAAGAAGAAUUGGUACUUAUCUCUUGUGAAUGUUUCAACUGUAUAUGUCUGUCAAAUGAAUUCAACUCAUAAGGAUCAUAUUAAAGUUUUAAUUAAUUAAGGAAUCCCUAAUAUAAUAUUAAUGAUUGCAAUCAUGUGGAUGUCAACUUCAAGAGCCUGCUAAGAGACCGGCAAAAUGUUUAGCCUAGAAAACACCUUGACUUUGUUUUCUUUUUGUCCUUUUUCCUCAUUGGAGACUUUAGCUCUCACAUAUAAUGAAUUACAAUAUGCCACCGUCUUCAAAGACAAGAUCAUAUCAAUAGAUUAGAAGGUGAAAUUCCAAAUAAAGGAGAAGCAAAGUGCGGCGAUUUGCUUUUCCAGCCUUGUAUGACUAUGUCUUUUCAUCAUUCAAGGAGAAGUAAAGUGCUUCUCAUAAUACUUGUCCUGUUGGGAGCUUCACUAAUGGUAGUUGGAUCAAUCGUUGUGUUUAUGUUAAGGAGACGUCGGAAUAGAAAUGUUCCAACUCAAGCUGAAUCCUUACCUACAACAAUGAUAUUAGCCAGGAUUUCAUAUAUUUAAAUUGAAAGGGCAACUCGAGGGUUCGACCAAUGCAACUUGCUAGGUCGUGGAGGUUUUGGCUCUGUUUACAAGAGCAUCUUUUCAAAUGGGAUGACUUUGGGAAUCAAAGAGUUUAAUUGACAGGUUGAAGGUGCAUUCAAAAGUUCUGAUUUACGCAACCUUCGGCAGAGAAAUAUUACCAAAGUUAUCAGCAGUUGUGCUAACAUGGAUUUUAAAGCACGACUUCUAGAGUACAUGCCCAAUGGAAGCCCGGAGCAAUGGUCACAUUCUGAUGAUUACUUCUUGAAUAUGACCCAAAGAUUAGACAUAAUGAUCGAUGUUGCAUUUGCUUUGGAAUAUCUCCACCAUGGUUAUGCAACAGUUGUUGUACAUAGUGACUUGAAGCCUAGCAAUGUCUUGCUAGACGAAAGUUGGUUGGACAUGUGAGUGACUUUAGCCAGACCAAAUUAUUAGGAGACGGGGAAUCAAUUGCUCAUACUAAUACACUUGCUACAGUGAGCUAUAUUGCACCAGGUAGUGCUGCCUUCUCUUCCUGGCGUUAGCAAAUUUGGGUGACCCCAAGUGAGAUGAUAACCAACACUUGGUCCGAGAUUAGGACGUUCUUGUUUCUCUUGUGCUUUUCUCUUGUGCAUAUUUUGAGUGUGGUGUGUGUGUGUGUCAAAUAAUUUUUACAUAUAAGAUAUGUACUAAAGUUGGCAUGGAGAAUGCCUUGUAUAAUAUUGAUGAUCAUUAUUAUGUAGAUAUCAGCUUCAAAAAUCAAUGGAGAGUAGUAGUGUAAAAUGCUCAACUACCAGCUAGGCUCUUUUGGUUACCAAGAUGAAUGGAGGUGUCCCAGUGACUGUAGAUUUAA
RNA transcript from Lycium barbarum (goji berry), 4117 nucleotides. It is a transcript of the gene named receptor kinase-like protein Xa21, with no coding region annotated. Lineage: Eukaryota; Viridiplantae; Streptophyta; Magnoliopsida; Solanales; Solanaceae. The transcript has 3 exons. The record is from RefSeq and is a predicted model, not a curated record.